RNAcentral lists this ribosomal RNA (61 nucleotides) under Megaloprepus caerulatus. RNAcentral's name for it is "partial 16S ribosomal RNA". The record is from RNAcentral. Lineage: Eukaryota; Metazoa; Arthropoda; Insecta; Odonata; Coenagrionidae.
UUAUAGUUUUUAGUACGAAAGGACCAUUAUUAUGAAAUUUUUUUUCUUUUUGGUUAAAGUU